Non-coding RNA from Drosophila suzukii, 2110 nucleotides. The record is from RefSeq and is a predicted model, not a curated record. Lineage: Eukaryota; Metazoa; Arthropoda; Insecta; Diptera; Drosophilidae.
UAAGAGAUCGAAUUAAGAAGUUAGUUGGCUGCUGCGGCUGCGUGACCCGACAAUCUGAUUUCAUCUGACUUCAAAUCUCUUGGUAGAUAACACAGGUAACAAGACCACCUUUAUAACAAAAAACCACAGGAAGGUGUUUGACUUCACUCUCAUCUCUGACUCAAAAAAUACUGAUAUAUAUAAACAGUCAUUAGCUUCGACACCAACAUUCCAAUCAAUUACCUAAACUAUCGAAAGCUAAACUAAAUAUCCUAGGCAGAUUCAUACCAGAGAACCCUCAAAUUUUUUCAAAGCUUUAUGAUUCGCCCUAGUAAAGGUGCCUAAAAUAUUGUAGAUUCAAAUAAUUCUAGCCUAAACAAUUAUGUCCGAUUAGAGCAACCAGGGGAACCAAGAAAAGAAAGCCACCUAGGUAGUCUUCCGAACUUGGAGACCUCAGAAAAAGCGCGCGCAAGUUUUUAAAUCUAGCCAAAUCACUCACAUAACAAUGAGGAGUCAUGGCAAUAAUACAAAGUCAGUUUCGCAGUCUACAACAGGCGCAGUAUUUCACUAACGUAGAGGGUACAUACAAGGCAUUACACUUACUCAGAACUCCAACUUAUGUGGGUGUGCUUGAUGUAGCACUCUGACAGUUCAUAGACAACCUUUUGCGAAGAGUCAAUAGAAGUCCUCUUUGAAGUCCAUUUCCCAGGUUGUCAUCGUGGAAUAGUGGACACGGAGUGAUCGGGGAAGCUCAAUUCUCGUCUAUCUCCCUAGCAGAAGGAACAUUAAAUGGGCUGUUAACAGUUUCAUGCCCUUUAAGUCCGGAUGUCUAGAUGGAAUCAUACCCGCUCGGCUCGCCAUCCCCGAAAAAUACUCGCUAAACUGGCUCCGCCAGACUUUCAAAAUUAUCUUAGAUACCGGUAUUAACACGGAAAUGUGGCUACGCAGCAAGGUGGUGUUCAAUCCUAAAGCGGGGUAUCCCUCUCACUGCACCCGCAAAGACUUCAGACCGAGCAGUCUCUCAUCGUUUAUGCUAAAAACAGCUUGAAAGACUAAACGAUCGUCAUAUACAAAACCAAAUCCCACAAGUUAAGGGUUUAGAGCUCGUAUAUAAUGUCGGUUCACCUAAUCCUGAGGAGCUUCAGGGGAAAAGCAGGGACAGGCCAAACGGCUAACGACGAGGACAAAUAAGGCUCUCGGGUCUAGUUCGGGAUAAAUUAACAAUAAAAAAAAGAGCCACAUCUGGGCUAUACAUAAAGGGCGAUUAUAGCAAGGGCCAAAGACUUCUCCGUCGGAGGCCAGCGGCGAUAAAGGUCCAAAAUGGAAAAACAGGCGUAAUACGGGAGUUGCGUAAUUGGGCAGACCGACAAAAAAAAUGGCGGGACUAGUACCACUGCGCGAUAUGGUUGCUGACGUUCCCAAAGCUGAGGUGGACGUAGUAGUCCGGAACGGACUCACCGGGAAAUGUUAGCGUCGGCGGCGACUAAGGAAGUAAUUAUGUGUGGUCCAAGUAUUUCCAACCGGGUCAAACGGACACCGGUUGCCUGCAGCCAAGUCGUGGCUCGUCGGCACACACACUUAUUUCGGGCUCCCUCCUGUCUGAUUGGCAAUAUGGCUGUGGCUGACUAAGAAAAUCUUCGCCAUUUUCUAAGCAAAACCUAGACGAUUUUCGGAACUGCAAGCGGACAAGAAACAAGGACAAAAAUAGGAUGACUAAGUGGAGAGUGAUUGGGAUGACGAGCCGAAAGCCAGAGAUCCCGAACGCCAACAAAACUUGCGGACAUUAUGACGUACCAAAAAGCAUCAUGGUGGCCAGGAACCCGGGGCACUCACAAAGUGGUGUCUAAACAGCUCUCGACGGACGAGCCGGACACAUCAGCGUCAACAUGAUUCAAAAUCCCGGCUUCCAAAACGAGGGGAGGGUGACGUCCCGCCGCCACAAUAAGCAAUAAAACAUAAAAACAAAACAUAAAAAAAGUGGUGGGUCGCUACCCCCGUAACCCUAGGCACACGAUAACAAUCGAUCGCUACACAUCACCGAUCAUCCAAGAACACACACGUUGUAUGACAGUUAUUUUUUUUUGGGAAAGGAGAGGCAAGCCGAUCUAAAGAGGGGCCGAAUUAAAUUUAA